CUUUCAGUCUCACACAUUAAAAUGGGAUGCUGAAGACACUCAGAGGAAAUCCCAAUGAUGUUGAUCUGGAGUUCUGAUAUCUAAUGCACUGAGAGGUCCUGCUUUUUAAAUUUUGUUGUGAAGAUCUGUCCAUUAAUGAUAUUCAGAGUAAGGUCAACCCAGUGGGCCAGAAGAAGAGAUGCUCCUCCACAAGCCCCGAUUCAGCUCCCCCACAAAAAUCUCCACGUACCGAUUCCUUAUCGUCUUCAACACAGAGGACGAAUACAGAAAAACAGUCAGAGACAGACAUGCAAAAAAUGCUGAUGGAAGACACAGGAAAACUCAUGAGCCCAACUGCUGAGACAAAAUCCUGGAGAAGAACCACCAUUACUAGGCGGUCCCUCUCAGCCCCUCCAAACCCUUAUCAGGCUUUGUGCAGCGGCAUAAGUACAUCGUUGUCAAAUCAAGAGAGGCUCGAGAAGCUAUUGGAGGCUUCAGUGAAGCUGGCACUAGAAAGAACUCAAAACAUGCUCCUGUCAGUUCCACAAGCUUCCAUUGAGACUUUUAAAAAACAAGUGGAGUACAUCCAGGCCCAGGGCAGUUCCCUGGCAACAAGCAUACCCAAUGAUUCACAUAAACUCCAGUCAAUUCAACCCAGUGAACCUACAAUGCAAAAAGCCAUGAAAAAUGUCCAGAAAGCAAUUGAAAGGCUCAGUAGCGAAAGUGAGUCCUGGGAUGUACUGUUGACCAAACACCAAAGAAAAGCAGAGGAAUUGGAACAGAAGCUCCAGAGGGGGCAGGAGACAGGCAUACAACUAAACUCUACAUCCAUGUCCCAGUCCUCCCAGUACCCUCUCAUACAGAGUAAACCUGACUACCACAGUAUCCUCUCUAGGCAACGACCGAUGAUACACACUAUGGCAACAAUUAUUGACACUCAGUGUAAGAUAGUAAGACAACUGCUGUCCAUUAAGGAGCAAUCCCAGUUGUUUGUGAAGGAGACCAGUGGCCGGCUGGCUGAAGAGGCAGGGUUCCAGGAUCUUUCAUCGGAUCUCCUGAGAAAUCUCAUGUCUGCGCCUUUACCAACAGCAUCUACAUAAACAGCCUGUCCUCUACUGGACCGUGACUGUAGGACUCGGGUCUGAAGCUUUAGUUUAACAUUUUAAAAUAUAUAAAUGCAGAAAGUUUUUUGUCUUGUUUAAUUAAAAAUAAUUUCACACUUCCAAGAAAAUUAUUUGUCAGGUGCAUGUAAUGCAUGCAUUCGGUCAGCAGGGGGCAGUGGCUAGCUAAAUACAACAUUGUGGGACUCCUGACAUAAUCUUGGUACAUUUGUUUAUUAAGCCGUAAUAAGAUUCUCACUUGUAAGUUUUUAAAGUGUUUAAACCACACACCAAGAGAAUAUGUGAAGUGUUUCUGAAACCCUGGCAGCAUCUAGCAGACUUAGUUCAACUCGUUUUUCUUUUUAGUGUACUCACUUUUCUCCUGACCCAGAAAAGUGAUUUAACCAUGUAUUUGAAUUGAGAAAGGUGAUACCAAAAGUCCAAACUUAUCUGGGAGACGUGGUAUUAAAAAAGCAAAAGUUCCUAAAGUCUAUUUGAUUAAAUUUGAGUUAGUUGCCCAUUUUUUUAUUUACUCACAAAAAUGAAAUAGGCAUUAAAGUAUAUGUGGUGUAAUUAAGAAAAAUAAACAUCCCACUUACUGUAAGUCAUUUUUUCUUGUUUAAAAGGGACUUGCUCAACUGAGAGAUCAGGAGAAAAACUGACUUUUAAUCUAUUCUGUUUACUUUGUAUACAGCUCUUAGAGGCUCAUCCACGGAUGCAUUUAGUCCAUUUUGGUGCUUCAUCUAUUUCACUUCAUCAGUGUCCCUUGACCAUACAAGAGAGGGCCCAUCCCCCAUAGUGACUCACCCCCAUCUCUUGCUUGGCUUGGUCAUUGAUGCAGAACGAAGCUUUGACAUUGUACCA
Molecule: long non-coding RNA, 1943 nt
Organism: Nothobranchius furzeri (turquoise killifish)
Lineage: Eukaryota; Metazoa; Chordata; Actinopteri; Cyprinodontiformes; Nothobranchiidae
Source: Ensembl